This 865-nucleotide ribosomal RNA is filed under the name Halomonas elongata. RNAcentral describes it as "bacterial SSU rRNA". It matches the Rfam family "Bacterial small subunit ribosomal RNA", at positions 22 to 878 of the family's 1533-position model. The record is from RNAcentral. Lineage: Bacteria; Pseudomonadati; Pseudomonadota; Gammaproteobacteria; Oceanospirillales; Halomonadaceae.
CUUCAGAUUGAACGCUGGCGGCAGGCCUAACACAUGCAAGUCGAGCGGAAACGAUCCUAGCUUGCUAGGAGGCGUCGAGCGGCGGACGGGUGAGUAAUGCAUAGGAAUCUGCCCGGUAGUGGGGGAUAACUUGAGGAAACUCAAGCUAAUACCGCAUACGCCCUACGGGGGAAAGCAGGGGCUCUUCGGACCUUGCGCUAUCGGAUGAGCUUAUGUCGGAUUAGCUGGUUGGUGAGGUAACGGCUCACCAAGGCGACGAUCCGUAGCUGGUCUGAGAGGAUGAUCAGCCACAUCGGGACUGAGACACGGCCCGAACUCCUACGGGAGGCAGCAGUGGGGAAUAUUGGACAAUGGGGGCAACCCUGAUCCAGCCAUGCCGCGUGUGUGAAGAAGGCCCUCGGGUUGUAAAGCACUUUCAGCGAGGAAGAAUGCUUGUCGGUUAAUACCCGGCAAGGGAGACAUCACUCGCAGAAGAAGCACCGGCUAACUCCGUGCCAGCAGCCGCGGUAAUACGGAGGGUGCGAGCGUUAAUCGGAAUUACUGGGCGUAAAGCGUGCGUAGGCGGCUUGAUAAGCCGGUUGUGAAAGCCCCGGGCUCAACCUGGGAACGGCAUCCGGAACUGUUAGGCUAGAGUGCAGGAGAGGAAGGUAGAAUUCCCGGUGUAGCGGUGAAAUGCGUAGAGAUCGGGAGGAAUACCAGUGGCGAAGGCGGCCUUCUGGACUGACACUGACGCUGAGGUACGAAAGCGUGGGUAGCAAACAGGAUUAGAUACCCUGGUAGUCCACGCCGUAAACGAUGUCGACUAGCCGUUGGGGUCCUCGAGACCUUUGUGGCGCAGUUAACGCACUAAGUCGACCGCAUGGAU